This 73-nucleotide transfer RNA is filed under the name Ixodes scapularis (black-legged tick). Its description in RNAcentral is "tRNA-Ser". It matches the Rfam family "tRNA". Rfam says of the family: Transfer RNA (tRNA) molecules are approximately 80 nucleotides in length. Their secondary structure includes four short double-helical elements and three loops (D, anti-codon, and T loops). Further hydrogen bonds mediate the characteristic L-shaped molecular structure. tRNAs have two regions of fundamental functional importance: the anti-codon, which is responsible for specific mRNA codon recognition, and the 3' end, to which the tRNAs corresponding amino acid is attached (by aminoacyl-tRNA synthetases). tRNAs cope with the degeneracy of the genetic code in two manners: having more than one tRNA (with a specific anti-codon) for a particular amino acid; and 'wobble' base-pairing, i.e. permitting non-standard base-pairing at the 3rd anti-codon position. Lineage: Eukaryota; Metazoa; Arthropoda; Arachnida; Ixodida; Ixodidae. The record is from RNAcentral.
CCCUGGGUAGCUCAGUUGGUAGAGCACUCCACUGGAAAUGGAGAGGUCCCGGGUUCGAUACCCGGGCCAGGCG